Molecule: ribosomal RNA, 564 nt
Filed under: uncultured Glomeromycotina
Lineage: Eukaryota; Fungi; Glomeromycota
Description: SSU rRNA
Rfam family: Eukaryotic small subunit ribosomal RNA
Source: RNAcentral
UUGGAGGGCAAGUCUGGUGCCAGCAGCCGCGGUAAUUCCAGCUCCAAUAGCGUAUAUUAAAGUUGUUGCAGUUAAAAAGCUCGUAGUUGAAUUUCGGGAUCAAUUUAUUGGUCGUGCUAUUGUACGUACUGGUAUUAUUGAUUCCUACCUUCUGACGAACCAUGAUGUCAUUAAUUUGGUGUCAUGGGGAAUCAGGACUGUUACUUUGAAAAAAUUAGAGUGUUUAAAGCAGGCUUUAGCUUGAAUACAUUAGCAUGGAAUAAUGAAAUAGGACGUUCGAACCUAUUUUGUUGGUUUCUAGGAUCAACGUAAUGAUUAAUAGGGAUAGUUGGGGGCAUUAGUAUUCAAUUGUCAGAGGUGAAACUCUUGGAUUUAUUGAAGACUAACUACUGCGAAAGCAUUUGCCAAGGAUGUUUUCAUUAAUCAAGAACGAAAGUUAGGGGAUCGAAGACGAUCAGAUACCGUCGUAGUCUUAACCAUAAACUAUGCCGACUAGGGAUCGGACGAUGUUAAUUUUUUAAUGACUCAUUCGGCGCCUUACGGGAAACCAAAGUGUUUGGGUUC